Molecule: small RNA, 136 nt
Filed under: Halomonas cerina
Lineage: Bacteria; Pseudomonadati; Pseudomonadota; Gammaproteobacteria; Oceanospirillales; Halomonadaceae
Description: HNH endonuclease-associated RNA and ORF (HEARO) RNA
Rfam family: HNH endonuclease-associated RNA and ORF (HEARO) RNA
Source: RNAcentral
GUCAACUACCUCUCCCUGAAGGGAGAGGCUUGUAACGCAAGCCAGGUUGACCAGGGAAAGCAGUAAACAACCCGCUACGUUGGCAAUAGGUCGCCAAGACCCACCCCACCGUGCUUCCUCAGCGGUGGGCUCUGGA